This 696-nucleotide long non-coding RNA is filed under the name Heterocephalus glaber (naked mole-rat). Its description in RNAcentral is "lncRNA (ENSHGLG00000042842.1)". Lineage: Eukaryota; Metazoa; Chordata; Mammalia; Rodentia; Bathyergidae. The record is from RNAcentral.
UAACAAGUCAACCUCUCCAAGAUUCAGAAUCCAGUACCAGAAAAUAACAACUUGGGGAAGAAAAGAAAGAGGGAGGUGGCUCCCCAGGGGCCCAGGAAUGAUCUGAAGGGAAUAUUGGAGCCCACAGAAAAAGUGAAGGAACAGACUUCAAUGCAGAAAAAAGAAGGGCCAAUUUGCAGAUUCUCCCUGGCUCCUGGCUCACAGCAUGAAAGAAGAGGAUCAAAUCUACAGAGAAACAAUGAAAGCAAUAACCUCAGAGGCUCCAGGGAGAAAUGCACCAGUGGAAUGGACCCAUGGAUGCUGGGCACUACAACAGCUGGGAUCAAACUUGGGUCCUUGUGCUUGCACAGCGAGUGGCGAAACCACUGAACUAAAUCCCCGGCCCUCAACAGGAAGAUUUAUGACAAGAACCCAGGGGCUCUGCCUACAUCACUAAAAAUGCCCUCGCUCAGCAAUUUUGCUGGAACACAUCAGUUCUUCAUGGUUCAAGACCUGUGUGGAUUUUUCAGUCUUCUAGGUUUUCCCGAAACACUUUGCUAAAUUUCAUUCUCCCCUCUAUCCCUUGUCAGGAGAAAUUCUACGUAAUUUGGGGGGAAAAUCAUUUCAUAAGUAAAUCAUGAUUAGGGCCUCGUUUUCCUGCCUACAGGCCAGCUACAGCAUUUUGAGACAAAACUCUGUUCUCACCUCUUACCACAG